UUAAGUGACUAAGCGUACACGGUGGAUGCCUGGGCAGUCAGAGGCGAUGAAGGACGUACUAACUUGCGAUAAGCGCAGAUAAGGCAGUAAGAGCCGUUUGAGUCUGCGAUUUCCGAAUGGGGAAACCAACUGCAUAAGCAGUUACUGUUAACUGAAUACAUAGGUUAACAGAGCAAACCGGGGGAACUGAAACAUCUAAGUACCCCGAGGAGAAGAAAUCAACCGAGAUUCCGGUAGUAGCGGCGAGCGAACCUGGAUUUAGCCCUUAAGCACUCGGUGAAGUAGGUGAACAAGCUGGAAAGCUUGGCGAUACAGGGUGAUAGCCCCGUAACCGACGCUUCAUCGAGCGUGAAAUCGAGUAGGGCGGGACACGUGAUAUCCUGUCUGAAUAUGGGGGGACCAUCCUCCAAGGCUAAAUACUCCUGACUGACCGAUAGUGAACCAGUACGUGAGGAAAGGCGAAAAGAACCCUGUGAGGGGAGUGAAAUAGAACCUGAAACCGUGUACGUACAAGCAGUAGGAGCACCUUCGUGGUGUGACUGCGUACCUUUUGUAUAAUGGGUCAGCGACUUAUAUUCAGUGGCAAGGUUAACCGUAUAGGGGAGCCGUAGCGAAAGCGAGUCUUAACUGGGCGCUCAGUCUCUGGAUAUAGACCCGAAACCGGGUGAUCUAGCCAUGGGCAGGUUGAAGGUUGAGUAACAUCAACUGGAGGACCGAACCGACUAAUGUUGAAAAAUUAGCGGAUGACUUGUGGCUAGGGGUGAAAGGCCAAUCAAACUCGGAGAUAGCUGGUUCUCCCCGAAAGCUAUUUAGGUAGCGCCUCGGACGAAUACUACUGGGGGUAGAGCACUGUUAAGGCUAGGGGGUCAUCCCGACUUACCAACCCUUUGCAAACUCCGAAUACCAAGUAAGUACUAUCCGGGAGACACACGGCGGGUGCUAACGUCCGUCGUGGAGAGGGAAACAACCCAGACCGCCAGCUAAGGUCCCAAAGUAUUGCUAAGUGGGAAACGAUGUGGGAAGGCUCAGACAGCUAGGAUGUUGGCUUAGAAGCAGCCAUCAUUUAAAGAAAGCGUAAUAGCUCACUAGUCGAGUCGGCCUGCGCGGAAGAUGUAACGGGGCUAAGCAAUACACCGAAGCUGCGGCAAUAUCUUUUAGAUAUUGGGUAGGGGAGCGUUCUGUAAGCCGUUGAAGGUGAAUCGUAAGGUUUGCUGGAGGUAUCAGAAGUGCGAAUGCUGACAUGAGUAACGACAAAGGGGUGAAAAACCUCCUCGCCGGAAGACCAAGGGUUCCUGUCCAACGUUAAUCGGGGCAGGGUGAGUCGACCCCUAAGGUGAGGCCGAAAGGCGUAAUCGAUGGGAAACGGGUUAAUAUUCCCGUACUUCUGACUAUUGCGAUGGGGGGACGGAGAAGGCUAGGUGGGCCAGGCGACGGUUGUCCUGGUUCAAGUGCGUAGGCUUGAGAGUUAGGUAAAUCCGGCUCUCUCUAAGGCUGAGACACGACGUCGAGCUACUACGGUAGUGAAGUCAUUGAUGCCAUGCUUCCAGGAAAAGCCUCUAAGCUUCAGAUAGUCAGGAAUCGUACCCCAAACCGACACAGGUGGUCGGGUAGAGAAUACCAAGGCGCUUGAGAGAACUCGGGUGAAGGAACUAGGCAAAAUGGUACCGUAACUUCGGGAGAAGGUACGCUCUUGAUGGUGAAGUCCCUCGCGGAUGGAGCUGACGAGAGUCGCAGAUACCAGGUGGCUGCAACUGUUUAUUAAAAACACAGCACUGUGCAAAAUCGCAAGAUGACGUAUACGGUGUGACGCCUGCCCGGUGCCGGAAGGUUAAUUGAUGGGGUUAGCGCAAGCGAAGCUCUUGAUCGAAGCCCCGGUAAACGGCGGCCGUAACUAUAACGGUCCUAAGGUAGCGAAAUUCCUUGUCGGGUAAGUUCCGACCUGCACGAAUGGCGUAAUGAUGGCCACGCUGUCUCCACCCGAGACUCAGUGAAAUUGAAAUCGCUGUGAAGAUGCAGUGUACCCGCGGCUAGACGGAAAGACCCCGUGAACCUUUACUACAGCUUGGCACUGAACAUUGAACCUACAUGUGUAGGAUAGGUGGGAGGCUAUGAAGACGUGACGCCAGUUGCGUUGGAGCCGUCCUUGAAAUACCACCCUUGUAUGUUUGAUGUUCUAACUUAGACCCAUUAUCUGGGUUGAGGACAGUGCCUGGUGGGUAGUUUGACUGGGGCGGUCUCCUCCCAAAGAGUAACGGAGGAGCACGAAGGUGGGCUAAUCACGGUUGGACAUCGUGAGGUUAGUGCAAUGGCAUAAGCCCGCUUAACUGCGAGAAUGACGGUUCGAGCAGGUGCGAAAGCAGGUCAUAGUGAUCCGGUGGUUCUGUAUGGAAGGGCCAUCGCUCAACGGAUAAAAGGUACUCCGGGGAUAACAGGCUGAUACCGCCCAAGAGUUCAUAUCGACGGCGGUGUUUGGCACCUCGAUGUCGGCUCAUCACAUCCUGGGGCUGAAGUCGGUCCCAAGGGUAUGGCUGUUCGCCAUUUAAAGUGGUACGCGAGCUGGGUUUAGAACGUCGUGAGACAGUUCGGUCCCUAUCUGCCGUGGGCGUUGGAAGAUUGAAGGGGGCUGCUCCUAGUACGAGAGGACCGGAGUGGACGAACCUCUGGUGUUCGGGUUGUGUCGCCAGACGCAUUGCCCGGUAGCUAAGUUCGGAAUUGAUAAGCGCUGAAAGCAUCUAAGCGCGAAGCGAGCCCUGAGAUGAGUCUUCCCUGACAGUUUAACUGUCCUAAAGGGUUGUUCGAGACUAGAACGUUGAUAGGCAGGGUGUGUAAGCGUUGUGAGGCGUUGAGCUAACCUGUACUAAUUGCCCGUGAGGCUUAACCAU
RNAcentral lists this ribosomal RNA (2882 nucleotides) under Vibrio cholerae. RNAcentral describes it as "bacterial LSU rRNA". It matches the Rfam family "Bacterial large subunit ribosomal RNA". Lineage: Bacteria; Pseudomonadati; Pseudomonadota; Gammaproteobacteria; Vibrionales; Vibrionaceae. The record is from RNAcentral.